RNAcentral lists this ribosomal RNA (252 nucleotides) under uncultured prokaryote. RNAcentral describes it as "partial 16S ribosomal RNA". It matches the Rfam family "Bacterial small subunit ribosomal RNA", at positions 524 to 775 of the family's 1533-position model. The record is from RNAcentral.
UACGUAGGGGGCAAGCGUUGUCCGGAUUUAUUGGGCGUAAAGAGCGUGUAGGCGGCUAGGUAGGUCCGCUGUGAAAACUCGAGGCUCAACCUCGAGACGUCGGCGGAAACCAUCUAGCUAGAGUCCGGAAGAGGAGAGUGGAAUUCCCGGUGUAGCGGUGAAAUGCGCAGAUAUCGGGAGGAACACCCGUGGCGAAAGCGGCUCUCUGGGACGGUACUGACGCUGAGACGCGAAAGCGUGGGGAGCGAACAG